GAUGAACGCUGGCGGCGUGCCUAAUACAUGCAAGUCGAGCGAACGGACGAGAAGCUUGCUUCUCUGAUGUUAGCGGCGGACGGGUGAGUAACACGUGGAUAACCUACCUAUAAGACUGGGAUAACUUCGGGAAACCGGAGCUAAUACCGGAUAAUAUUUUGAACCGCAUGGUUCAAAAGUGAAAGACGGUCUUGCUGUCACUUAUAGAUGGUUCCGCGCUGCAUUAGCUAGUUGGUAAGGUAACGGCUUACCAAGGCAACGAUGCAUAGCCGACCUGAGAGGGGGAUCGGCCACACUGGAACUGAGACACGGUCCAGACUCCUACGGGAGGCAGCAGUAGGGAAUCUUCCGCAAUGGGCGAAAGCCUGACGGAGCAACGCCGCGUGAGUGAUGAAGGUCUUCGGAUCGUAAAACUCUGUUAUUAGGGAAGAACAUAUGUGUAAGUAACUGUGCACAUCUUGACGGUACCUAAUCAGAAAGCCACGGCUAACUACGUG
This 497-nucleotide ribosomal RNA is filed under the name uncultured bacterium. RNAcentral's name for it is "partial 16S ribosomal RNA". It matches the Rfam family "Bacterial small subunit ribosomal RNA", at positions 28 to 507 of the family's 1533-position model. The record is from RNAcentral.